UACAGAGGCCUCGAGCGUUGUUCGGAAUUACUGGGCGUAAAGGGAAUGUAGGCUGUGACGUAAGUCAGAUGUGAAAGCCCUGGGCUUAACCCGGGAAGUGCAUUUGAUACUGCGUUGCUGGAGUGCGAGAGAGGAAAGCGGAAUUCCUGGUGUAGGGGUGAAAUCCGUAGAUAUCAGGAGGAAUACCGAUGGCGAAGGCAGCUUUCUGGCUCGUAACUGACGCUGAGAUUCGAAAGCGUGGGUAGCAAACAGG
RNAcentral lists this ribosomal RNA (253 nucleotides) under uncultured bacterium. Its description in RNAcentral is "partial 16S ribosomal RNA". It matches the Rfam family "Bacterial small subunit ribosomal RNA", at positions 524 to 776 of the family's 1533-position model. The record is from RNAcentral.